Zingiber officinale is the source of this 1446-nucleotide long non-coding RNA. RefSeq lists it as uncharacterized. The transcript has 4 exons. Lineage: Eukaryota; Viridiplantae; Streptophyta; Magnoliopsida; Zingiberales; Zingiberaceae. The record is from RefSeq and is a predicted model, not a curated record.
GCCAUUCAUUUGCUCCCGACGUCGUCUCCCUUCUCGCCUCUUCCUCGAGCUCUUCGCCUUCCCAAGCCGACGGCGCCGCCUCGCAUCGUUUCCUCUCCUUCCUUGCAAACAAAAUCAUCGGCCAAGGGAGAUCAGACAUUUCUGCUCGCUGCCUCUUCUCUUCCUCUCGCGUGGACGACUCGACGCCGAUGAUCACCGAGGUUCUCCUCACCAACACCGUCGAUCCGUGCCCUAAUGGUGAGAGGAUGCUCUUGAUUGGAUCAUCUCUCUCACUGUGGUCACGUUCUUGGUUAUCUGUGCCCUAGAUCCAUCGUCGAUGCAUAUUCCUCUUCGGGUUGCUGCCCCGUGUGAGCAGAUCUCCGGCUAAGAAGGGAGAUCCAAGCCCUAGCAUUGAUCUUCUCUUGUGAUCAAUCCAAUGCCAGCACUUGCGCACAGCCCCGAUCUUGCCGCACCGACCAGUUUCCUCUUCGCCUAUGCCCUUGAUUUCUAGACGUUGUUGUCUUGUUGCCGAUCACAGAUUGCUAGCAUCUCAGGUGCCUGCUCACCCAGUAUCGCUGACGCUCGAUCACUCAGAACCACCCAGUGUCGGCUGAUCGUCACCCUCUGCCCUAGUUAACCAUCACAGAAGCUUUUGGAUUCAUCCGAGGGGAAGUUUCGGAUCUGAAUUGGAAACUACUUAGGGGCUUCAACAACGGAUCUCCGGCAGCAGGUACCUCCAGCUAGCAAAUUCUGGCGGUUGCCCUACUUGGCUGUGGAUCAACAGGAGUAGUUUGGAAUUGAGGGUUUUGAUUUGAUGCGGACAGCUUGACGUGGGAUUUAUUCCGAUACGAACAACUGAUUAAGAUAAAGGAAAGAAAAAGUUAUAGCGAAGGAAGGCGACAAGGAGAUGUAGAUGGAUGUGUGAUGUUUGGACUAUGGAAGCCUUGAGACUUAGUUUAGAAAUUCAUUAAGAUUUUGUAUUCAAAAUGUUGGAACUAUUCUUUCAUGUUGCUGGAUUUGCUUAUUGAAUAUUUUGUGUUUUAGAACUCUUCCUUUUAAUUGUUGUGUCAUUAGUUCCAUUAUUUGAGUUGUAUUAUUAUUGCAUGCAAGUUCAGAUUUAUAUAUACAGUUUCUAGCAUGUUCAGAUUGAUGUAUAGUUUUAGUUGUGAACAUAUGCUUGAGUAGUGUGUUUAGAUGAGUCAUAUAUGUUUGCAGCUACUACUAAUUGUAUCUCUUGGGUUUUUGAAAAUUUUAAGUAAUGAUAUUUCAUGUGAGCAACUCUAGUUAAGUAAAGUUAGGAGGAGGGUGCGGUGUUACAUGAUUGCAUUUAUUACUUGUGUUUGUUGCACUUUAUUUGCUACAUAUUUGGUGGAUGCAUAUGAUUGACAUGCAUACAGGAGAUAUUAUAUUUUCGAUUUAACGACCUUAUUAUCCUGGUAGGAGGUCCUGGUGAGUACAAUUUUUUCC